CCAGAACUUUCCAAGCCAAGAAACCCCUCUCUCUCACUCAUCCACUUGCUUGCUAUUUGUGGAAACCGGGUUCAAUAGUAUAAUAGUAUUCCUCCCAAUAUAUCUAGAAACUUCUUAAACACUAUUCUUCUAAUUAUUUAUCCGAAUCCUUUUGUUUAUCACUGACUAAUACUAUUUUAACUUCCUCCUUAUAUAUAAUCACUUAAAACACGCCAGCACUGGCUCUCUUCAUAGAUAAGGGGUGACACACAUGAGUGAGUGUGUGUAAUGUGUUAUAAGUUAUAACAAACUGUCCGUUCUUCUUUCUUUCUAUAACCGUCUCAACGACUUUCUCACUAUAGAAUUUGUUUCUAUAAGAGAGUUUUGAGUUUUAAAUUAUGUUAAUAAAUUAAUAGAAUUUUAAAUUUUAAACUUUUUCAUAGACUUCUGAAGGUGGUUGAUUCAAUAUCCACUGAGGAUACAGAAACAGAGCUCCCCUGCAUUUCUUAUUGUUUUUCUUUUUCAUUUUCGUUACUGAAUAUAAUUCAGCAAUAGGCUUAUUCAGUUUGGGAAAAUGAACUAUCUGUAUCCGGUGAAGGAAGAGUACCAGGAGGAAGCAUCGUCGUCGUCGUACUUUGUGGCUGGAAAUGACGAGACGAGGAUGGUUCCUCCGCCGCAGCCAAUGGAGGGGCUCCACGAAGCGGGGCCACCACCAUUCCUGACGAAGACGUUCGACGCGGUGGACGAUCCGGCCACAGACCACGUAGUGUCGUGGAGCCGAAGCGGAGCAAGCUUCGUGGUUUGGGAUCCGCACGCCUUCUCCAGAGGCCUUCUUCCAAGAUACUUCAAGCAUAACAACUUCUCCAGCUUCGUAAGGCAGCUCAACACUUACGGUUUUAGAAAGAUUGAUCCAGAUAAAUGGGAAUUUGCGAAUGAAGGGUUUGUGAGAGGGCACAGGCACCUGUUGACAAGUAUAAGGAGAAGGAAGGCGCCUCCGCCACCAAUACAAACGCAGACUUCGCAGUCGCAGCAGGGUCACUGCCUUGAAGUAGGGCGGUUCGGAUUGGAUGAAGAAAUCGACCGGUUGAGGCGUGAUAAGCAGGUUUUGAUGAUGGAGCUUGUGAGGCUAAGACAGCAGCAACAAACCACAAGAUCGUAUCUUCAGGCAAUGGAGCAGAGGCUGAAAGGUACUGAGAUCAAGCAGCAGCAGAUGAUGGCUUUCUUGGCCAAAGCAAUGAAGAACCCCGUGUUUAUACAGCAACUCAUACAGCACAAGGAGAAGAGGAAGGAGCUUGAGGAUGCCAUGACCAAGAAGAGGAGGAGGCCCAUUGAGCAAGGGCCUAGUUGCAGCACCACUACUGUUAAGGUUGAGAAUCCACCAGAGUUUGCUGGUUAUGCUGGUGGCUUUGGAGCUUCUGAGCUUCAAAUUCUGGCUAUGGAGAUGCAAGGAUAUGGUAGAGGGAGGCGAGAGAGUACUGAAUAUGAACAUGAACAUGAACAUGAGCAUGAGCAAGAGCAAGAGCAAGAGCAAGAGAGGCUUGACAAGGAGCUUGAUGACGAAGGCUUCUGGGAAGAGCUGUUCAGUGAGAAUUUUGAGGGUGAUUUGGACAUUUCACAAGAUGAAGAAGAGGAUGUUAAUGUGUUGGCCAAUCGGCUGGGUUACUUGGGUUCAAGUCCUAAGUGAAAGAAAUCAGUAUUGAAUCAAAGUAACAUUUAUUCACUAUUCUUCAUUUUAGGAGGGUUCAUACGGUGGAUGGAAUUUCAACUGUUCAAGCUCAUCAUCGCCUCAAUUGGGGGCAAGACAGUAAAAUCACCCCAGCCACGACAUUAUCUACUAUGGCCUAUGGGGAAUUAAAAAAAUAUUAUUUACAUCUUGGUGUUUCUAAGUUCUAACCUCUCAUUUAAUGUCCUUUUGUAGCACUAGCUACCUGGUAGAACCUCAGUUUUUCUCAUCACUUUGCUUAAUGUUUGGUCAUUAUUAGGUAGGUUGCAGGCGUUGAUUGGAACAAGGAUUCUGUGGUAGUGAUAGCGGUACUAUUACUCAAGAUGAUUGAGAAGAUGUAGAAUGGGUACCAAGUUGCUGAUCCUGAUCUCCCAAGAAUCACAACUGAAUGUUGUUUUAGAGUGAAGAGCCAUCAGUUGACGGUUAACCUUGUCGGUUUGAUAUUUUUUCAUCUCAUCAUCAUCCCUAUGCAUGUGUGAUACUACUUUUUCCUUUUCUUCCAUUGAUUCUACUUUUGCCAUUAGGUGGUCUUAAGAAGAAGAACAAAAACACGAUGCCACCAAUUAGAAAACGAAUUUCAUGAUGUUACAUUUUGUAGCAUGUAGUUAGGUAUCUCCAUGUGUUGAAGAUUCCCAUUUGAGGGGUCUCAAGACGAAACGUGUCGCAUUAUGGAGCAUGAUAUAGUUAUAUAAUAAUGAAAGUGAUCAUUUUUUCUGUUUGUAGAAUUGUGGUGUCUUCCUCACAUUGGAGAUUAGGUAUGCACAUUCACACGGUUGCAAAAGUUGAUUGAAAACCUUCAGGACUUUUUUGUUGUUUUUGUUUGGGUGGGUUUUGGGGCGGGGGGGUUGUUCCUCAUCUUUGAUUAUUGCUACCAGUUUGUGGCUUGUGGGGGACUAAUUUACAAUGUGAUUGUGGGUUGCAUGAUUUGUUGAAUGAAGAUUUGUGAUAUUUCGAAGAGCAAACAGAUUCAUGCUGAGAUAUUUAUGUGCACACCAAAUAAUUUUCCCUUGCUCUUGUCCAUUAGUAAUGGAGAAAUACGUGUGAUUUUUUGGCAAACAAAGCACAUAAAAGUUUAUCAUGGACUUGUCGGGAGCAACCACAAUUAAUUUUCAUACAUU
Molecule: RNA transcript, 2820 nt
Organism: Arachis stenosperma
Lineage: Eukaryota; Viridiplantae; Streptophyta; Magnoliopsida; Fabales; Fabaceae
Gene name: heat stress transcription factor A-6b-like
Exons: 3
Source: RefSeq, a predicted model, not a curated record